CCUACGGGAGGCAGCAGCAAGGAAUCUUCCGCAAUGGGGGCAACCCUGACGGAGCAACGCCGCGUGGGGGAUGACGCCCUUCGGGGUGUAAACCCCUUUUCUUCGGGAAGAAGUUCUGACGGUACCGGAGGAAGAAGGACCGGCUAACUACGUGCCAGCAGCCGCGGUAAUACGUAGGGUCCGAGCGUUGUCCGGAGUUACUGGGCGUAAAGCGCGCGCAGGCGGCGGUGCUGGCCCGGCGUGAAAGCCCCCGGCUCAACCGGGGAGGGUCGUCGGGGACCGCACCGCUUGAGGGCGGUAGGGGCUGGUGGAAUGCCUGGUGUAGUGGUGAAAUGCGUAGAGAUCAGGCGGAACACCCGUGGCGAAGGCGGCCAGCUGGGCCGUCCCUGACGCUGAGGCGCGAAGGCGUGGGGAGCGAACGGGAUUAGAUACCCCGGUAGUCCACGCAGUAAACGAUGCAGACUAGGCGUGGGGGGAGUUGACCCCCUCCGUGCCGGAGCCAACGCGGGAAGUCUGCCGCCUGGGGAGUACGGCCGCAAGGCUAAAACUCAAAGGAAUUGACGGGGGCCCGCACGAGCGGCGGAGCGUGCGGUUUAAUUCGACGCGACGCGUAGAACCUUACCAAGGCUUGACAUGCGCCUGCAUCCUCCUGAAAGGGAAUGGCCUUCGAGGGUGGCGCCACAGGUGCUGCAUGGCUGUCGUCAGCUCGUGCCGUG
Molecule: ribosomal RNA, 716 nt
Filed under: uncultured bacterium
Lineage: Bacteria
Description: bacterial SSU rRNA
Rfam family: Bacterial small subunit ribosomal RNA
Source: RNAcentral